GGGCAUCUCAAGUAGUACCUUCUCCAAGAAGCCUUCUCUAACCAAUGGGCAAAAGCAAGCACUCCUUCUUUCAGAGACUCCUAUGAAAGUCAUUUGUACCAUUCAUUUUGGUCAAAGGCAUGUGUUGAGGAAAGUGCAUAGUAUUUGGAGUAGAAUAGUUAAAAUUGAAUUCCUAAUUAAGACUAUUGGCCAAUAAUUGUGGCACCUUGAAAAAGCCUCUUACUUCCUUUGUAUGACAGUUUCCUAAUUUGUGAAGCAGUAAUAAUAGUAUUAUGUGAUUCUUAACACCUUGUGCGAAUCAAACCAGGUCAUGAUUAUGGCUUGUAAAGUGCUAUGCCAUUGCUCAUUUUCAUUCUAUGUCAGAUGCUCUCCAUACUGGAACGUGUCAGCUGGUCAAUUAGAAUCUGCUUCUUGGAUACAGGAACUGGGUUAUUUUGUCUUCCACAGUCAUGAAUGCUACCAGGAUUACUUGACUUGAAGUAGAAUGAAACUGAGAAACAUUUAAAGAACCUACUGUGUGUGGUUUAGCACCUCUGUCUGCAAUGGGCGGGGCUCUCACACGGUGGUGGGCAAGACAGGUGAGGAAACAGAUGAGAGCCCUGCUGUGGGCCAUGCUUGAUAGUGAAUGUGCCGGAGAGAUAGGGAUUAGGUGCUUCACAAAGACAAUCACCUUCAAAUUCCAUUCUAAAGGGUGAUUAUGACCCUCAGGUAGAGAAAAUAAAGAAGGGCAUAUUAGGAAUGGAGCUAGAAAUAACACACACAAAGGCCCAGAAGCCCACAGAGGGUUCAUGUCAAGAAAGUGCUGAGAUAGCAUGACCGAAGAGGAUCUCGGUUACAAGAGUACCGAGAGAUGGCAAGGAACAGUAUGAGUUCUUCAUAGCAAUGAGACCUCAUGACCAGCUCAAAAGAUAUUAUACUGUCCUUGUCCACCUUUUCAUGGUCCUUAGCAUGAGUGGGCCUUUGUUUUUUCUGGUCCUCCUUUCUUUACCUAGGGUGUGGUAGAGUGUGAAUUACUAUGACUGGUUUACCCACCCUUGCACUUAACCUGUCCAUCUAGUUCCUGCAGCCUCACUCCUUUUCCAUUUAAUCCCUGUAAUCAUUGUACAUUUCAGAUAUAAUUCUUGUUAUUUAACCUUGGAAAAUUUUACAAAAUACAACCCUACCUAGAGACCUACAAGAACAACAAUAGUAAUAAAAAGCACACUCAUCCUGAGCCUCCUGUAACCCUUGAAACACAUCUCUUAUCAGAGGAAGGAAAUAAAUUAAUCCUUGAAGACACUGAGGUCCAAAAGAAGUUUUAAAGAACAUGCUGUUGGGUUUAGUAAAUGCAUUUAAGAAUACCUGUGAAAAAUCCUAUUUGAACUAGAAAAAUGUAAGCAUACACACACAAAGGCUGAUCUUCCCUGAGUGGGAGUAGAUCAUUUAUGUUGUGGGAAAACAGAUAUUGUCUAGAUAAUGCUUAGAUAGGACUUGAAGGCUCCAAAUGCUGUCAACAAAAGAAAAUGGAGAACUAGUUUUAUAUGACCCAAAAACUCAUAGAUCUAAGCUAUGAUUUAACGUUUCAACUUUCCAUGGUUUUCCCAUUGAUAUCAAAACAUCUCUUGUCAAUUAAUCUUCAGCAAGUAGAGCAUGUUCAAUUUGAUCUUUACUAGAAAAUGCAAUGUACCACAGGGAAUCAGGAGAUGUGGUUUCACUAAAGUAACAGUUAAACACAUUGGUUCAUUAGUCAUUUUGGCAACAUCCCAACAAAAGCCCAGGUUGGCCUAUGAGACUCAGUUGUACCAGGUUGGAAAGUAUUAGCCCUUUGUCAGAUGGAUAGAUUUCCAAAAUGGAAAGUAAAAAUCUGAAAUUACAAACUCUGAAAUAGGCUAAGAAACCAUCAGACAGAGUACUCUGGGUUUCUUGGGAAUCUUACUUUAGAACAGGGAAAUGAAAUAAAAUUUACAAUGGGAUUUAUUCUGAACCUUUUUUAGAUUUUGGUCAGCAGUACUAUAUUCUGUCAACUGUUUAAGUCCCAAGUACUCACUGAUUAAUCCAUUUAUUCACUCAAGUGGCAUUUCCUAUGGAACUCCCCUAUUUUAUAUAAAUAUGAAACAAGGAACAUCACAGGAAGUGCAAAGAAAGACAUUACUACUCCCACACUCAGUAUGAGUCCCCUUUACUAGUGUAUUCUAGACACUCACAUGCAAUAAACAUAACACAUUUGUGGGAAACACACCAUGUGGUGAUGCUUAAUGAGCCAUACCCUUGUGGAAUACCCUUCCCUUCAGUGUGGAUAGGACUCAUUACUUGCUUUCAACCUAUGGAAUAUGGCAAAGGUGAUGGGAUAUCACACUACUUAUUAGGUCAUGCUAUAUGACAAAGGUGAACGAUAUCACUCCAUAAUUACUUUACAUCAUAGGAGACUAUGACUCAGUGGACUGGAGAGAAAUAUUUUCCUAUAGUCUUAAAGAAGCAAACAGCCAUUCUGUAAAGCACCUACGGAGAGGACCAAGUGGCAGGGAACUACAGUGGCCUCUAAGAUCAGAGAGUAGCCAAUAAGAAGCUGAGGGCCUCUGUCAUACAACCAUUGGAAACAAAUUCUAGAACAACCGGAAUGAACAUGGAAAUGGACCCUUCCUCAAUGAGCCUCAGGAGGAGAACACAACCUAGAUGAAACCUUGGUCUCAGCCUGGCUGCCUGAUAAGACCUGGGCAGAAACCCAAGGCUGGAUGCUUCCUCCCUCUCCACCUGCCCUUGGACAUCAGACUCCAGGUUCUUUGGCCUUUGGACUCUUGAACUUUGGACUCUUUUGAUGGGGCCUCUUGAGCCUUUGGCCACAGUCUGAAGGCUGCAUUGUCAGCUUCCCUGCAUUUGAGGCUUUUGGACUUGGACUGAGCCACUACUGGCUUCUUUCUUCCCCGCUUGCAGAUGGCCUACCAUGGGAUUUCGCCUUGUGAUCAUAUUUGAACUGGUGGAAUAUUAACACCCGGAGCCGCUUCCACCAAGGAAGAUCGUCAGUGCUCAAAGACGGGAGGAGAUGGAUCAUUUGUCAUUUCAGAACUGAAUCCAGAAGUUGUUCUUCAAAUGGUAAUGCAAAUAAAUCAAACCCCACAG
This 3096-nucleotide long non-coding RNA is filed under the name Homo sapiens (human). RNAcentral's name for it is "HSALNT0026723". The record is from RNAcentral. Lineage: Eukaryota; Metazoa; Chordata; Mammalia; Primates; Hominidae.